This 471-nucleotide ribosomal RNA is filed under the name uncultured bacterium. RNAcentral describes it as "bacterial SSU rRNA". It matches the Rfam family "Bacterial small subunit ribosomal RNA", at positions 329 to 793 of the family's 1533-position model. The record is from RNAcentral.
CUACGCACUCCUACGGGAGGCAGCAGUGGGGAAUAAUGCACAAUGGGCGCAAGCCUGAUGCAGCCAUGCCGCGUGUAUGAAGAAGGCCUUCGGGUUGUAAAGUACUUUCAGCAGUGAGGAAGGUGGGUAUGUUAAUAGCAUACUCAUUUGACGUUAGCUGCAGAAGAAGCACCGGCUAACUCCGUGCCAGCAGCCGCGGUAAUACGGAGGGUGCGAGCGUUAAUCGGAAUUACUGGGCGUAAAGCGCAUGCAGGUGGUUUGUUAAGUCAGAUGUGAAAGCCCGGGGCUCAACCUCGGAAUUGCAUUUGAAACUGGCAAACUAGAGUACUGUAGAGGGGGUAGAAUUUCAGGUGUAGCGGUGAAAUGCGUAGAGAUCUGAAGGAAUACCGGUGGCGAAGGCGGCCCCCUGGGCAGAUACUGACACUCAGAUGCGAAAGCGUGGGGAGCAAACAGGAUUAGAUACCCUGGUAG